RNAcentral lists this ribosomal RNA (104 nucleotides) under Peptococcaceae bacterium. Lineage: Bacteria; Bacillati; Bacillota; Clostridia; Eubacteriales; Peptococcaceae. The record is from RNAcentral.
UCCGGUGGCUAUAGCGGAGGGGUCACACCCGAACACGGAAGUUAAGCCCUCCCGCGCUGAUGGUACCUGGGGCGCAAGCCCCCGGAAGAAGGCGUCCGCCGGAA